UACGAGGGGGGCGAGCGUUGUUCGGAAUUAUUGGGCGUAAAGGGUGCGUAGGCGGCCUGACAAGUCUGAUGUGAAAUCCCUGGGCUCAACCCAGGGCCUGCAUCGGAAACUGUCGGGCUUGAGUAUGGGAGAGGUGAGUGGAAUUUCCGGUGUAGCGGUGAAAUGCGUAGAGAUCCGGAAGAACACCGGUGGCGAAGGCGGUCUGCUGGGCAGUAGCUGACACUGAGGCGCGACAGCGUGGGGAGCAAACAGG
RNAcentral lists this ribosomal RNA (253 nucleotides) under uncultured bacterium. RNAcentral describes it as "partial 16S ribosomal RNA". It matches the Rfam family "Bacterial small subunit ribosomal RNA", at positions 524 to 776 of the family's 1533-position model. The record is from RNAcentral.